RNAcentral lists this ribosomal RNA (468 nucleotides) under uncultured bacterium. RNAcentral's name for it is "partial 16S ribosomal RNA". It matches the Rfam family "Bacterial small subunit ribosomal RNA", at positions 28 to 507 of the family's 1533-position model. The record is from RNAcentral.
GACGAACGCUGGCGGCGUGCUUAACACAUGCAAGUCGAACGGAAAGGCCCUGCUUUUGUGGGGUGCUCGAGUGGCGAACGGGUGAGUAACACGUGAGUAACCUGCCCUUGACUUUGGGAUAACUUCAGGAAACUGGGGCUAAUACCGGAUAUGAGCUCCUGCUGCAUGGUGGGGGUUGGAAAGUUUCGGCGGUUGGGGAUGGACUCGCGGCUUAUCAGCUUGUUGGUGGGGUAGUGGCUUACCAAGGCUUUGACGGGUAGCCGGCCUGAGAGGGUGACCGGCCACAUUGGGACUGAGAUACGGCCCAGACUCCUACGGGAGGCAGCAGUGGGGAAUAUUGCACAAUGGGCGGAAGCCUGAUGCAGCAACGCCGCGUGCGGGAUGACGGCCUUCGGGUUGUAAACCGCUUUCGCCUGUGACGAAGCGUGAGUGACGGUAAUGGGUGAAGAAGCACCGGCUAACUACGUG